This 216-nucleotide ribosomal RNA is filed under the name Streptomyces olindensis. RNAcentral's name for it is "partial 16S ribosomal RNA". It matches the Rfam family "Bacterial small subunit ribosomal RNA", at positions 1 to 219 of the family's 1533-position model. Lineage: Bacteria; Bacillati; Actinomycetota; Actinomycetes; Kitasatosporales; Streptomycetaceae. The record is from RNAcentral.
CAUUCACGGAGAGUUUGAUCCUGGCUCAGGACGAACGCUGGCGGCGUGCUUAACACAUGCAAGUCGAACGAUGAACCACUUCGGUGGGGAUUAGUGGCGAACGGGUGAGUAACACGUGGGCAAUCUGCCCUGCACUCUGGGACAAGCCCUGGAAACGGGGUCUAAUACCGGAUAUGACCAUCUUGGGCAUCCUUGAUGGUGUAAAGCUCCGGCGGU